UUAUUUUUUGCCACAACAAUAAAUAAAUAAUUCUCUUACUAAAAUAUUUCUUUAACUUUUUCGGAUUCGAUGAGUAUAACAAAGUGAUGUUGGCUACUGGUUACUACAUGCCUGCGAAAAAUACGUGGAUUCAGCGACUGACCGAGUUUCGAGUGUUUUCAGGAGAAGGAUUUCAAAUAUAAAAUAAUCUAAUGGGCACAACAUUUGAAUAUAUAUAUAAAUUAAAAGCUAUUUCGAUAUGUACUCUGCGAACCACAACACGGAAAGACGUGAAAAUUUGCACAGAUUCGUUUAUUCCUGCUGAUUUUACCUCCAACUGUAUGGAAACCACUAUUAAAUGUAAUAUUACUUUUCUGAAAUGUGUGAUAAUGGAAGCGCCGUCAAAACUAUAAUGCAUCUCGUUAGCUGAUAAACGAAAAAGCGAACAUUUUCGAACAUACCCGAUUACCCUUGCUCACCCUAUAUGAGUGGUUAAUAUGUCUAAUUAAAGUUCUUUUUCAUAUUUCGAUAGUGUAGAUAUUCAAAAAUAUAUUUUAAUUAUUUUUCAAAAUUCAAAUAAUUUCGGAAGUUAAAGCCGUUUUAGUGUCGUGACAACUGGACCGGUAAAGGUUAAUGUAAAACUUUAAAUACAUUUUUCUUGAAACUACUUUUUUUAAGGUGGUUGAUAUGAUACACGAGUUAUAUUUAAUCGAUUCAUAUGAAAUUUGGUAUAUGUCUCUCUAUCGGAAGUUUUUUUUCAAGUUGACUUCAUUUUACGAUUUUUUUUGACAAAGGUCAAUCCGGUUGCGAGAUCUUUACUGAUGAAGAAUUUUUUCAAUUUGUUUGGUUUAGAUCAUUACAUGGGUAGCAAAGUGUCUAAAAUUUUGAUGUCCAGUCUAGAAUAACCCCACAAUGUAAUCUGUUGAAAAAAGAAAUUGUUCUAUCUGAAUUAUGUACGUAUGUGUAAAUGAUAGUGGGUGUCGUCUCCUUUCCAGAAAGGAGGGCCAACCUUGAAUAGCAUUGUAAUAUAAUAUUAUAUAAAGUAAAAAUAAAUAAAACAUUAGGAUGGAAAAAAUAUGAA
This is a long non-coding RNA of Bactrocera latifrons, 1060 nucleotides long. RefSeq lists it as uncharacterized. The transcript is spliced from 3 exons. Lineage: Eukaryota; Metazoa; Arthropoda; Insecta; Diptera; Tephritidae. The record is from RefSeq and is a predicted model, not a curated record.